GUAACUUGCUGACGCGGUGCUCUCUUGUCUCCAGCAGGAGACCAGGUUUGAGAAGUCGCUGCGGGAGAAGAAAGGUUUCAUCAUCAAGCAGAUGAAGGAGGACGGGGCUUGUUUAUUCCGGGCUGUGGCUGACCAGGUCUAUGGAGACCAGGACAUGCAUGAAGUGGUCCGGAAGCACUGUAUGGACUACCUGGUGA
Chelonoidis abingdonii (Abingdon island giant tortoise) is the source of this 197-nucleotide non-coding RNA. NCBI's taxonomy places the organism in Eukaryota, Metazoa, Chordata, Testudines, Testudinidae. The record is from RefSeq and is a predicted model, not a curated record.